Molecule: ribosomal RNA, 911 nt
Filed under: Chlamydomonas globosa
Lineage: Eukaryota; Viridiplantae; Chlorophyta; Chlorophyceae; Chlamydomonadales; Chlamydomonadaceae
Description: eukaryotic LSU rRNA
Rfam family: Eukaryotic small subunit ribosomal RNA (bases 1-319)
Source: RNAcentral
CAUUCACGAGCCUAUCCUUGACCGAGAGGUCCGGGUAAUCUUUGAAACUGCAUCGUGAUGGGGAUAGAUUAUUGCAAUUAUUAGUCUUCAACGAGGAAUGCCUAGUAAGCGCGAGUCAUCAGCUCGCGUUGAUUACGUCCCUGCCCUUUGUACACACCGCCCGUCGCUCCUACCGAUUGGGUGUGCUGGUGAAGUGUCCGGAUUGGCUUUAGUUGGUGGCAACACCGACUUUAGCUGAGAAGGUCAUUAAACCCUCCCACCUAGAGGAAGGAGAAGUCGUAACAAGGUUUCCGUAGGUGAACCUGCGGAAGGAUCAUUGAAUCUAUCAAUACACACACCGUGAACUUUUACUGUCUGGCCUCUUGCUUGCAAGGCACUCUUCUUGGGAUUAAGUUCCCUUGGAGGGUGGGCUCAGGCCUUCGGGUCUGAGUUGGUCUUGUCUAACCAUUUACACCUAACCAAAACAAACUAAAGACCUUAUGCAUUAGGCCUAGCCUGUGCAUCAAACCAAGACAACUCUCAACAACGGAUAUCUUGGCUCUCGUAACGAUGAAGAACGCAGCGAAAUGCGAUACGUAGUGUGAAUUGCAGAAUUCCGUGAAUCAUCAAAUCUUUGAACGCAUAUUGCACUCGAGGCUUCGGCCGAGAGUAUGUCUGCCUCAGCAUCGGGUUAAUACUCACUCAACACACCCUGUGUGUAUGCGAGUGGACCUGGCUGUCCCAGCUAUGCCUGACUGUUUCGGCAGUUAGACUAAGCUGGCUGGGUCAGCUGAAGCGCAGAGGUUAGCACAAGGACCCGUUAAGGGCCGCAACUGGGUAGGCAGCUUACGCUUGCUUCUUAGUUGUUGGCUUGGGAACUGUGUUCGACCCAAAAAACAGGAAUAACCCUAUUUUCUCGAUCUGAGCUCAGG